GAUGAACGCUAGCGGCAGGCCUAAUACAUGCAAGUCGAGGGGUAGAGGUUGCUUGCAACCUUGAGACCGGCGCACGGGUGCGUAACGCGUAUGCAACCUACCUUCAUCAGGGGGAUAGCCCGGAGAAAUCCGGAUUAACACCGCAUAAAAUCACAGUACGGCAUCGUACAAUGAUCAAACAUUCAUGGGAUGGAGAUGGGCAUGCGUGCCAUUAGCUAGUUGGCGGGGUAACGGCCCACCAAGGCUUCGAUGGCUAGGGGGUCUGAGAGGAUGGCCCCCCACACUGGUACUGAGACACGGACCAGACUCCUACGGGAGGCAGCAGUAAGGAAUAUUGGUCAAUGGGCGCAAGCCUGAACCAGCCAUGCCGCGUGCAGGAAGACGGCCCUCCGGGUUGUAAACUGCUUUUAUUCGGGAAUAAACCUGUCUACGUGUAGACAGCUGAAUGUACCGAAGGAAUAAGGAUCGGCUAACUCCGUGCCAGCCGCCGCGGUAA
This 496-nucleotide ribosomal RNA is filed under the name uncultured bacterium. RNAcentral describes it as "partial 16S ribosomal RNA". It matches the Rfam family "Bacterial small subunit ribosomal RNA", at positions 28 to 523 of the family's 1533-position model. The record is from RNAcentral.